RNAcentral lists this long non-coding RNA (1430 nucleotides) under Junco hyemalis (dark-eyed junco). RNAcentral describes it as "lncRNA (ENSJHYG00000008902.1)". Lineage: Eukaryota; Metazoa; Chordata; Aves; Passeriformes; Passerellidae. The record is from RNAcentral.
GCCGGCUGAGGGGGGCGGGGGGCGGGACCAGCCGGCCCCGCCCCGCCCCGCCCCGCGCGCGGCGCGGAGGUGACGCAGCCGUUGCCGCAGAGACGAACCGCCCCGGCCCCCCCCGCCGGCCCGGCCCCCCCGUCCCGGUGCGGCGCGGCUCGGCUCGGCUCGGCUCGGCUCGGUCCAUCCCGCGCAGCGGCUCCGGGACGCGCCUCCUGUCACCUUCAGCGGCGCUGGCCCGGGCGGGAGGCGCGCCGCGGCGCCGCCAUGGUGCUCAUCAAGGAAUACCGAGUUAUCCUGCCCGUGUCUGUGGAGGAGGUGAGUUCUUUGCUUCUUGCUUUAGGACUGUAAAUAAACCUGUGAUCAAAGCAGGAACAAAAACUGGAAAAUGCAAGCUGUCUUCAGGAGCCCCUGUGAGCUGUUACUCAUUCACCAUCAUUUUUGACCAAAUAAUUGUAUUAAGUCUGAGGGUGCCAAUCAUCUCUCUUACAAAAUACUUUCAGAUAUGCUGAUUAUAAAUCUUGAGCUGUCAGGCUGUUUUCAAGUGCAGUUUCCUUUUCAUUAGCACUAUUGUUCUUUUCUACUUUUUUAACACAAAGGGGAAGCUUUAGCACAGAUUUAAGUCACCUUUUAAACUAUGUUUUGCUGGAGCUCUUUUGUUUUAAACUCUUAGGCAAAGAUCAAGAAUUACUUAGGAGGCUCACAUAGCAAAAGGACGUUUUAAGACCUGUGCUAUUUAGCUCUUGCUCUUACAUACAGAAAACUUUCUUUUUGUUUAGAUAAAGCAAAGUUUUAAGAGAGGAAUUGUAGAACUAAGAGAGGAAAUGUAGUUUCUAUUGGACAGGGUGAUUUUCAUCACCAAACCACCCAUGGAAUAGCUGUGCAGACUCAGUGGCUGUUUCCCUCCUGUUUCCUCUGAUUUUCAGCUUGCCUUUCCUUCCUUCCUCUUGCAUUGAACAUCACUCUUGAAGAGAAUCUAACCAUAUAAGUGUUUUGAGUUUUUAAAUCUUUAUACUAACAAGGUAGAAGUUGAAAUGACUGAAUCUACAGCACUUCCAUAGCAGAUUCCUUCUCCUGGAUGUGUUUUAUUUUUUCCUUGUGAUCCUUGGCUGUGAGCCUUGGGUUUGUGAACUCUGAUCAAGGCCUUGUUCUGACUCUUGGGGAGAGCUGUGAUAACAGCACUCUUGUUCAUUUCUCCUUCCUCUCGAUAUAGCAGCUACUGUGGCGUAGACAGUGGUGGGCUGGCUCAUGGCAGCACUUUUUUAAGCAGAUCCCUUUUAUAACUCUCACUCUUCUGACAAAACACGGUUUAGAACUUCAUGUAGUGCAUUCCUGCAGCCAUCAGACUGGCUGGUAAAGCAGAAGCAGUGUCUGAGCUGAGUUUCUUGUUCCUGUGACAGGUAUCAGAGACUGACAGAAAGCCCAGAACUCUGAUCAGG